UAGCUCGGUGGCAUGCUAUCUGGUAGUGGAAGGGCCGUCGCUCAACGGAUAAAAGUUACCCCGGGGAUAACAGGCUUAUCUCCCCCAAGAGUUCACAUCGACGGGGAGGUUUGGCACCUCGAUGUCGGCUCAUCGCAUCCUGGAGCUGUAGUCGGUUCCAAGGGUUGGGCUGUUCGCCCAUUAAAGCGGUACGCGAGCUGGGUUCAGAACGUCGUGAGACAGUUUGGUCCCUAUCUGUUGUGGGCGUGGA
RNAcentral lists this ribosomal RNA (250 nucleotides) under Klebsiella pneumoniae. RNAcentral's name for it is "partial 23S ribosomal RNA". It matches the Rfam family "Bacterial large subunit ribosomal RNA", at positions 2402 to 2657 of the family's 2925-position model. Lineage: Bacteria; Pseudomonadati; Pseudomonadota; Gammaproteobacteria; Enterobacterales; Enterobacteriaceae. The record is from RNAcentral.